GUGUUAAAUAACAACAAAAAAACAGCCAAUUGUGAAACUGCUGGACUCCUAACUGGUGAGUUGUCUGUAUUUUCAUGAAUUGAAGCU
Molecule: long non-coding RNA, 87 nt
Organism: Salarias fasciatus (jewelled blenny)
Lineage: Eukaryota; Metazoa; Chordata; Actinopteri; Blenniiformes; Blenniidae
Exons: 3
Source: RefSeq, a predicted model, not a curated record